AACGAACGCUGGCGGCAUGCCUAACACAUGCAAGUCGAACGAGACCUUCGGGUCUAGUGGCGCACGGGUGCGUAACGCGUGGGAAUCUACCCUUGGGUUCGGAAUAACAGUUAGAAAUGACUGCUAAUACCGGAUGAUGACGUAAGUCCAAAGAUUUAUCGCCCAAGGAUGAGCCCGCGUAAGAUUAGCUUGUUGGUGGGGUAAUGGCCUACCAAGGCGACGAUCCUUAGCUGGUCUGAGAGGAUGAUCAGCCACACUGGGACUGAGACACGGCCCAGACUCCUACGGGAGGGAGCAGUGGGGAAUAUUGGACAAUGGGCGAAAGCCUGAUCCAGCAAUGCCGCGUGAGUGAUGAAGGCCUUAGGGUUGUAAAGCUCUUUUACCAGGGAUGAUAAUGACAGUACCUGGAGAAUAAGCUCCGGCUAACUCCGUGCCAGCCGCCGCGGUAA
RNAcentral lists this ribosomal RNA (449 nucleotides) under uncultured bacterium. Its description in RNAcentral is "partial 16S ribosomal RNA". It matches the Rfam family "Bacterial small subunit ribosomal RNA", at positions 29 to 523 of the family's 1533-position model. The record is from RNAcentral.